This 253-nucleotide ribosomal RNA is filed under the name uncultured bacterium. RNAcentral's name for it is "partial 16S ribosomal RNA". It matches the Rfam family "Bacterial small subunit ribosomal RNA", at positions 524 to 776 of the family's 1533-position model. The record is from RNAcentral.
GACGGAGGGUGCAAGCGUUGCUCGGAAUCAUUGGGCGUAAAGGGUGCGUAGGCGGUCUCGUAAGUCUGGUGUGAAAGCCCAAGGCUCAGCCUUGGAAGUGCGCUCGAAACGGCGAGGCUGGAGUGCCGAAGGGGAGAGUGGAAUUCCCGGUGUAGCGGUGAAAUGCGUAGAGAUCGGGAGGAAUACCGGUGGCGAAAGCGACUCUCUGGACGGCAACUGACGCUGAGGCACGAAAGCGUGGGGAGCAAACAGG